RNAcentral lists this long non-coding RNA (1541 nucleotides) under Sinocyclocheilus grahami. RNAcentral describes it as "lncRNA (ENSSGRG00000031548.1)". Lineage: Eukaryota; Metazoa; Chordata; Actinopteri; Cypriniformes; Cyprinidae. The record is from RNAcentral.
AAAAUGAGCUUAGUUCUGUCAUAAACCUGAAAUGAAAAAUGACUUCAUGAAACAGUUGCAGAAAUACUAGGCAAAACACAGGACCCUGCCUAUGCUGCCUACAUUGCUGUGAGAUCCACAGACAGUACUAAACAGGAAAUAAAAGAGGUUGAGGAGGAACGCGGUGAGGUAGAAGCUGCUGAAGAUACAACUGAAAAAGCUCAAGAUAUUGUGGACGUUACAACGGAGGAAGGGAGGGUUGAAACGGCUUGGGACAGCUCUGAUGUCACAGUUGAAGACGAUGAGGCUGCCUCCGAUGUCAUGGAGGAGGAUAAAACUGCUGGAACAGUUGAAGAUAUUGCAGAUGUUACAGAGGAGGAACCUUCUGUUAUGCAAGAAGACAUAGAUGAGAAAAUAGAACCUGAAAAGUUUGAAGAUAUCUCAGAUUUUGCAGAGGAUAAAUCAACUGAAACGACAUCUGAUGCUACAGAUGUGAAAGAUGUUGACGCUGCCUCAGAUGUUGUUAAAGAGGAGGAAGAAGUUGCUGAAAGAGUUGAAGACGCAGAUGUAACAGAGGAGAAACCAUCAGAUAUACCAGAAGUCACAGAUGAGGAAACAGUGACUGAAAAGGCUGAAGAUAUCUCAGAUUUCGCAGAGGACAAAUCAACUGAAAUUACUGAAUCUGAUGCUACAGAUAUGAAAAACAUUGACGAUACCUCAGAUGUCGUUACAGAGGAAGAAGAAGUUACUGAAACAGUUGAAGAUGUAGAUUUUACAGUGGAGGAAACAUCUGAUAUUCCAGAAGUAAUAGAUGAGGAAAUAGCAACAGAAAAGUUUGAAGAUAUCUCAGAUUUUAAAGAGGACGAAUCAGCUGAAAAGACCUCUGAUGUGACAGAAGACAUUGAUGCUGUUACAGAGGAGGCAGUAGUUACUGAAACCGCUGAAGAUAUUCCAGAUGUUACAGAGGAGGAAACAUAUGACAUUCCAGAAGUCAUAGAUGAGGAAUUAGCAACUGAAAAGGCUGAUGAUACAUUUGACUCCAUAGAGGACGAGUCAACUAUGAUAACCUCUGAUGUGACAGAAGACACUGAUUAUACCUCAGAUGUUGUUACAGAGGGAGAAGUUACUAAAUCAGUUGAAGAUAUUGCAGAUGUUACAGAGGAACCAUCUGAUAUGCCAGAAGUCAUCGACAUUGAUGAUACCUCAGAUCAAGAUACCGCUGCAGUUAUAGAGGAGAAAGAAUCAACUGAAACAAUUGAAGAAGCAGCAAUUGAAACAGCAGAAGGUGAGGAAGAAGAACCUGAGACAGAUGAAGAUGCCAGCACUGAAGAAACAGCCGAAGAUUCAGUAGAAAAAGAACAGCUACCUGAAUUGGCUGAAGCUACUCCAGAUACCAUCUGUGUAAAGGAAAAGACUGAAGCAACAGAACUUGAUGAUCUUGAAGUCCGGGGUAAAGAUGACAUGAAAGUGGAAGGCAAGGAGGAGAAGGAAGAUGUGGCAAUUGCUGAUGCUGAAAAGGGCACAAAGAAGUACAAGUUUCUAUAUAUAAAACUAGAGAGAGC